Molecule: ribosomal RNA, 485 nt
Filed under: uncultured bacterium
Lineage: Bacteria
Description: bacterial SSU rRNA
Rfam family: Bacterial small subunit ribosomal RNA
Source: RNAcentral
ACUCAAAUGAAUUGACGGGGGCCCGCACAAGCAGCGGAGCGUGUGGUUUAAUUCGAUGAUACACGAAGAACCUUACCAGGGUUUGACAUGCAAGUGGUAGGGAUCCGAAAGGUGACCGACCCUUCGGGGAGCUUGCACAGGUGCUGCAUGGCUGUCGUCAGCUCGUGUCGUGAGAUGUUCGGUUAAGUCCGCUAACGAGCGCAACCCUCGCCGUGUGUUACAAGUGUCACGCGGGACCGCCGGUCUUAAGCCGGAGGAAGGUGGGGAUGACGUCAAGUCAGCAUGGCCUUUAUGUCCUGGGCUACACACACGCUACAAUGGCCAGUACAACAGGUAGCGAAGUCGCGAGGCGGAGCCAAUCCUCAAAGCUGGUCUCAGUUCAGAUCGCAGGCUGCAACUCGCCUACGUGAAGAUGGAGUUGCUAGUAACCGCAGGUCAGCUAUACUGCGGUGAAUACGUUCCCGGGCCUUGUACACACCGCCCGU